This 269-nucleotide long non-coding RNA is filed under the name Mytilus galloprovincialis (Mediterranean mussel). Lineage: Eukaryota; Metazoa; Mollusca; Bivalvia; Mytilida; Mytilidae. The record is from RNAcentral.
CAGGACUGUAGAACAGUUCUAAAUGACGUCACUGCAGUAAGGGCACUUUAGAAUUUAGAAGAAAUAAAUCACUUCCAAUUACUUUGCUAUAUAUUAAAUAGCAGAUUUUCUAUAUUUUUUACUGAUCAAACGACUUUUAUUACGUUACAUGUACAAAUAUCGAAGUGAAUAGAAGGUUAUCCAACUCAUCGGAGAAAUAUUUUUAUAAGAUUGCAUACGGAAACAUCAUUGUUUACGUUUCUUCGUUCCCCGUUUUUAACAGUCUCUUC